UUGGGAGUUAGGUGCCUAAAUACCUUUACCCUCAAAUCCAGGUUCAGGCCCAGAUAGGGUUAAUUCCAGUUUUCCACCAUGAGCCUAUCAAUCUAACCUGACCUGGAGGAACCACCUCUAUGAAUGUGAGGGUAGUCCAGUCUCCAUGCUUAUUCAGCAUUAGCCUCU
RNAcentral lists this small RNA (168 nucleotides) under Gopherus agassizii (Agassiz's desert tortoise). Its description in RNAcentral is "TUC338 (ENSGAGG00000025221.1)". Lineage: Eukaryota; Metazoa; Chordata; Testudines; Testudinidae. The record is from RNAcentral.